ACUGCUCAGUAACACGUGGAUAACCUGCCCUUGGGUCCGGCAUAACCCCGGGAAACUGGGGAUAAUUCCGGAUAACGCAUAUUUGCUGGAAUGCUUUAUGCGUCAAAUGGAUUCGUCCGCCCAAGGAUGGGUCUGCGGCCUAUCAGGUAGUAGUGGGUGUAAUGUACCUACUAGCCAGCGACGGGUACGGGUUGUGAGAGCAAGAGCCCGGAGAUGGAUUCUGAGACAUGAAUCCAGGCCCUACGGGGCGCAGCAGGCGCGAAAACUUUACAAUGCGGGAAACCGUGAUAAGGGGACACCGAGUGUCAGCAUCAUAUGCUGGCUGUCCAGGUGUGUAAAAUACACCUGUUAGCAAGGGCCGGGCAAGACCGGUGCCAGCCGCCGCGGUAACACCGGCGGCCCGAGUGGUGAUCGUGAUUAUUGGGUCUAAAGGGUCCGUAGCCGGUUUGGUCAGUCCUCCGGGAAAUCUGAUAGCUCAACUAUUAGGCUAUCGGGGGAUACUACCAGGCUUGGAACCGGGAGAGGUAAGAGGUACUACAGGGGUAGGAGUGAAAUCUUGUAAUCCCUGUGGGACCACCUGUGGCGAAGGCGUCUUACCAGAACGGGUUCGACGGUGAGGGACGAAAGCUGGGGGCACGAACCGGAUUAGAUACCCGGGUAGUCCCAGCCGUAAACGAUGCUCGCUAGGUGUCAGGCAUGGCGCGACCGUGUCUGGUGCCGCAGGGAAGCCGUGAAGCGAGCCACCUGGGAAGUACGGCCGCAAGGCUGAAACUUAAAGGAAUUGGCGGGGGAGA
RNAcentral lists this ribosomal RNA (794 nucleotides) under uncultured archaeon. Its description in RNAcentral is "bacterial SSU rRNA". It matches the Rfam family "Archaeal small subunit ribosomal RNA", at positions 85 to 877 of the family's 1478-position model. The record is from RNAcentral.